UCGAGCGGCAAGCUGUAGCAAUACAGCCUAGAGCGGCGGACUGGUGAGUAACGCGUGGGUGACCUGCCCAUUGGAUGGGGAUAGCCACUAGAAAUAGUGGGUAAUACCGAAUGUGGUUGCGAAGCUGUGGCUUUGCAAAGAAAGGAGCUUUGGCUCCGCCAAUGGAUGGGCCCGCGUCCCAUUAGCUAGUUGGUGAGGUAACGGCCCACCAAGGCGAUGAUGGGUAGCCGGCCUGAGAGGGUGUACGGCCACACUGGGACUGAGAUACGGCCCAGACUCCUACGGGAGGCAGCAGCUAAGAAUAUUCCGCAAUGGACGAAAGUCUGACGGAGCGACGCCGCGUGGACGACGAAGGCCGAAAGGUUGUAAAGUCCUUUUGCCGAUGAAGAAUAAGUGGGGGAGGGAAUGCCCUCACGAUGACGUUAGUCGGUGAAUAAGCCCCGGCUAAUUACGUGCCAGCAGCCGCGGUAACACGUAAGGCGCGAGCGUUGUUCGGAAUUAUUGGGCGUAAAGGGCGCGUACGCGGUACUGCAAGCCCGGCGUGAAGACCAGGGGCUUAACUUCUGGCUUGCGCUGGCAACUGCGGUACUAGAGUCACGGAAGGGGAGCUGGAAUUCAGGUGUAGGGGUGAAAUCCGUAUAUAUCUGGAAAUCACCGGUGGCGAACGCGAGCUACUGGCUGAUGACUGACGCUGAGGCGCGAAAGCGGGGGAAGCAAACAGGAUUAGAAACCUUGUAAGCCCCCCCAUAAACAAUGAACCUA
Molecule: ribosomal RNA, 762 nt
Filed under: uncultured Spirochaeta sp.
Lineage: Bacteria; Pseudomonadati; Spirochaetota; Spirochaetia; Spirochaetales; Spirochaetaceae
Description: bacterial SSU rRNA
Rfam family: Bacterial small subunit ribosomal RNA
Source: RNAcentral